CGCCAGUUUUGGCGGAGCCAUCCUUGGGAUACCACCCUUGUAGUACUGGGACUCUAACCAUAGGCCAUGAAUCUGGUCUUGGGACACUGUCAGGUGGGCAGUUUGACUGGGGCGGUCGCCUCCCAAAAGGUAACGGAGGCGCUCAAAGGUUCUCUCAGUACGGUCGGAAAUCGUACGUAGAGUGUAAAGGCAAAAGAGAGCUUGAUUGCAAGACAUACAGGUCGAGCAAGGAUGAAAAUCGGACUUAGUGAACCGGUGGUUCUGCGUGGAAGGGCCAUCGCUCAACGGAUAAAAGCUACCCUGGGGAUAACAGGCUUAUCUCCCCCAAGAGUCCACAUCGACGGGGAGGUUUGGCACCUCGAUGUCGGCUCAUCACAUC
RNAcentral lists this ribosomal RNA (379 nucleotides) under Clostridioides difficile. RNAcentral's name for it is "partial 23S ribosomal RNA". It matches the Rfam family "Bacterial large subunit ribosomal RNA", at positions 2169 to 2546 of the family's 2925-position model. Lineage: Bacteria; Bacillati; Bacillota; Clostridia; Peptostreptococcales; Peptostreptococcaceae. The record is from RNAcentral.